Molecule: ribosomal RNA, 196 nt
Filed under: uncultured bacterium
Lineage: Bacteria
Description: partial 16S ribosomal RNA
Rfam family: Bacterial small subunit ribosomal RNA
Source: RNAcentral
ACGCUCGACACCUACGGGAGCAGCAGUGGGGAAUAUUGCACAAUGGGCGAAAGCCUGAUGCAGCAACGCCGCGUGAGCGAAGAAGGCCUUCGGGUCGUAAAGCUCUGUCCUCAAGGAAGAUAAUGACGGUACUUGAGGAGGAAGCCCGGCUAACUACGUGCCAGCAGCCGCGGUAAUCUGAGCGGGCUGGCAAGGC